This 403-nucleotide ribosomal RNA is filed under the name Exophiala spinifera. Its description in RNAcentral is "partial large subunit ribosomal RNA". It matches the Rfam family "Eukaryotic large subunit ribosomal RNA", at positions 95 to 502 of the family's 3401-position model. The record is from RNAcentral. Lineage: Eukaryota; Fungi; Ascomycota; Eurotiomycetes; Chaetothyriales; Herpotrichiellaceae.
GAAGCGGCAACAGCUCAAAUUUGAAAUCUGGCCUCUUUGGGGUCCGAGUUGUAAUUUGUAGAGGAUGUUUCGGGUACCGCCUCGGUUUAAAUUUCUUGGAACAGAAUGUCAGAGAGGGUGAGAAUCCCGUCUUGGACCGGAGGUAGGGCCCAUGUGAAACUCCUUCGACGAGACGAGUUGUUUGGGAAUGCAGCUCAUAAUGGGUGGUAAAUUUCAUCUAAAGCUAAAUAUUGGCCAGAGACCGAUAGCGCACAAGUAGAGUGAUCGAAAGAUGAAAAGAACUUUGAAAAGAGAGUUAAACAGUAUGGGAAAUUGUUGAAAGGGAAGCGCUUGCAACCAGACUUGAGCGCGGCGGUUCCCCCUUCCUUUUGGGUGGGUUACUCCGCCGUGUCCAGGCCAACAU